CGCUCCCAGGGGAAGCUGAGGGUAUGUGUUAAUGUGUGAGUGUGUGUGGUCACAGCUGUUGCAAUUCCUCAAAGUGGAUCAAGAUGAGAAGAAGAAAGAAGGAGAUGUCAGAAGGAUCUAGUUUGCUCUAACACAGCAAACAAACGGAUGUUAACAGCUUAAAGUCAGCCGACAACUUUGAAGAUACUGGAGUUCCCAACAUGACAUGAGGAGAAAAGGUUGGUUUGGAGAACUGAGAAUCAUUAUUUGUAGAGUGAAUGUGUGUAUAUGUGAUGUUUAAAGAGGAAAAAAAGAACAAAUCCCAUUGUGAAGUGAUUUAAAAGUAAAUAUAAAUAUAUUUUAAUAAUGAACACUGUUAAUGCUGAUCUGACAGAGAUCAUAAAAUACAGCAGAAAGCUGCAAAUAAAUAGAUAAUUCAGCUGAUAACAAGUUUAACUGAUGUAAAGACGCCUCCCUUUGAUAAAACUCACGAGGCCGUUAGCCGAGGAUGCAAAAUGUAUAAAACAAAAAGCAGGAGGUGGUCGAGGAGAGCUGUCAGGCUGCUCCAAACGGAGCCCGAGAUGUGGCGAUUUUACCCACCUAUAGGGGAGCGUCAGCCACUCUGUCAUUUAAAAGGAUAAAAAUAUUAACAGCCAUUAUUAAUAAAACAUAGAAACCAAAAAAAAAAACGGAACACGGUUAACAAAAACAAAAUC
Non-coding RNA from Nothobranchius furzeri (turquoise killifish), 695 nucleotides. Lineage: Eukaryota; Metazoa; Chordata; Actinopteri; Cyprinodontiformes; Nothobranchiidae. The record is from RefSeq and is a predicted model, not a curated record.